This 2549-nucleotide long non-coding RNA is filed under the name Sus scrofa (pig). RNAcentral describes it as "lncRNA (ENSSSCG00040049328.1)". The record is from RNAcentral. Lineage: Eukaryota; Metazoa; Chordata; Mammalia; Artiodactyla; Suidae.
AACACUGGAUCCUUAACCCACUGGUUGAGGCCUAAUCAGAUUCAUUUCUGCUGAGCCACGACGGGAACUCCUAUUUUUUUAUUUUAUUCUUCAAACUUUUUACUCCAGUUGAAUACUAAUCAAAUUCAUUUCUGCUGAGCCACGACGGGAACUCCUAUUUUUUUAUUUUAUCCUUUAAACUUUUUACUCCAGUUGAUUUACAAUGUUGUAUCAAUUUCUGCUAUACAGCAAAGUGACCUAGUUUUAUAUAUAUAUAUACAUACACACACACACACAUUGUUUUUCUAUUAUCUUCCAUCAUGUUCCAUCACAACUGAUUGGAUAUAGUUCUCUGUUCUGUACAGCAGAAUCUCACCACUUAUCCAUUCCAAGUGCAAUUGUCUGCAUCUACUAACCCCAAACUCCCCGUCCAUCCCACUCCCUCCCCUUCCCCUUGGCAACCACAAGUCUGUUCUCCAUAUCCAUGAGUUUGUUUCUUUUCUGUAGACAGAUUCAUUUGUGCCAUAUAUUUCAUUCCACCUAUAAGUAAUAUGGUAUUUGUCUUCCUCUUUGACUUCCUUCACUUAGUAUGAGAGUCUCUAGUUCCAUCCAUGUUGCUGCAAAUGGCAUUAUUCUGUUCUUUUUCAUGGCUGAGUAGUAUUCCAUUGUAUAUGUACCACAUCUUCUUAAUCUAUUCAUUUGUCGGUGGACAUUUAGAUUGUUUCCAUGUCUCGGCUAUUGUGAAUAUACCUAUUUUUUUCAUUGAGAAGUUAAAGAAAAGUUGGAUAUGUUAAAGAAUUAUCAUCCAUGUUGCUGGAUGUGGUAACAGGAUGAUGCUUAUAUUUCUGAAGUCCCGAUCUGUUAGACCAGGGUUUCUGAGCCUUGGCACUGCUGACAUCUGGGGCCAGAUAAUUUUUUGAUUUGAGGGCUGUCCUGCGCACUACAGGAUGUGCAGCUGCCACCCUGGUUUCCAUCUGCUAGAAGCCAGUAGCAACCACCGCGCCCCCAGCUGUGACAACUAAAACUGCCUCUGGAAACCGCCACGUGUCCCCUGGAAGGCAAACGCGCCCCCAGGUAAGCACCACUGUGUUCAUGUGUCUUCCGAAGAACUUACAAGGGAAGUGAGGGGUUUUGUUUUCAAAUUCUCUAGAGGAACUGUGGGGAGUGGGGUAAGAUGUCGCUGAGAAUGGCAGAAUGUGACCUUCCUUAGAUCUGGGUAGUGACUACAUGGCUGUCGUUACCCUAAUCCCUAUGCUAUAAAAUACAUUUCAACCCUCCUUGAUGUAAAGCAUUUGCAAAAGCACAUGCAGACACAUAAAUACUGUGGCAACACAUUCCUGACAAAUGUUCAUAAUAUUAAGUGGGAAAAAAACACAGGACCAGGCAAUGUGGACACUGUGACCCCAUUUUGAUAAAACAGAGAGACAGAGACACUCAGAAACGAAUCAGAACAUUCACACAAAUGGUCUCCAGGUGGUGGAAUUGCAGGUACUAAUUCUCUUCCUCCAAAGUGUAGGUUUCAAAGCUCCCCACACGAGCAGAUCCACGUGAUGCCAUGUAAACAAACAAAACGAAGACUAACAGAGAAGAAAGGGAUGGCUAUGGAGCAGUACAAAGCGGGCAAGGAAAGAAAUCAAAAGACUUCAAAGCCAACACGAAAUUUCAAAAAGCACAACAAUAAAGGAGCCAUCGAGUACAGGGGCAAAGAUACCUCACAGCCCGUGGGAAAUGCUGCAUCUGUGUGUGUGUACAUGCAACGUGUGUGUGUGUGUGUUAUGUGUGUGUGUGUGUUUUGUGUGUGUCCUUUUGUUACACAACUGCUCAACCACUAGACUAAGUUCUGUGCUUUUUUCAAUUGUUGGGUCUCGGAUCUUGUUCCACGUUCAUGCUUGGCCAUCUUGUUCUUUCUCUUGAAUACACGCCAUAGGAUGGAUGUCUACAUUAUUCUAGUCUUUUACAAGUAGAAGGAAAGCUGUAAUAAACAUCCUAGUCUAUACACUUCUUGCACAACAACACACUCACACAAUACAUCUGGCAGAAGUCCUAGAAGUAGAACUACUUUUUUUUUUUGGUCUUUUCUAUGGCCGCACCCGCACAGCAUAUGGAGGUUCCCAGGCUAGAGGUCAAAUCGGAGCUGUAGCCGCCAGCCUACACCAGAGCCACAGCAACACUGGAUCCGAGCCGCAUCUGCGACCUAUGCCACAGCUCACGGCAAUGCCGGAUCCUUAACCACUGAGCAAGGCCAGGGAUCGAACCCGCAACCUCAUGGUUCCUAGUCGGAUUCGUUAACCACUGCGCCACAACGGGAACUCUGAACUACUUCUCUAUGGACAAGAGUUAGCAAAUCUUUUCUAAGAUGUGAGAGUGUGUGUGUGUGUGCACGCACGCGGCGUAAGGCCUGUUGGUCUUUGUUUUAUUAAUACAAUGGGCUGAGAUCUUUUGGUUAUAGAAUAUUAGAGCUAAAUUGGAACUCAUCCUAUUUCACUUCAUCUGCCUUUCUUUGGGUCUGUUGUUCCUCAAUUUCACCCACACUUUUGGUUAUUAAUGCUCCCAUUCAGUGUUUCAUAUUC